AUUGAACGCUGGCGGCAUGCCUUACACAUGCAAGUCGAACGGUAACAGGUCUUCGGAUGCUGACGAGUGGCGAACGGGUGAGUAAUACAUCGGAACGUGCCUAGUAGUGGGGGAUAACUACUCGAAAGAGUGGCUAAUACCGCAUGAGAUCUACGGAUGAAAGCAGGGGAUCGCAAGACCUUGUGCUACUAGAGCGGCCGAUGGCAGAUUAGGUAGUUGGUGGGAUAAAAGCUUACCAAGCCGACGAUCUGUAGCUGGUCUGAGAGGACGAUCAGCCCCACUGGGACUGGGACACGGCCCAGACUCCUACGGGAGGCAGCAGUGGGGAAUUUUGGACAAUGGGCGCAAGCCUGAUCCAGCAAUGCCGCGUGCAGGAUGAAGGCCUUCGGGUUGUAAACUGCUUUUGUACGGAACGAAAAGCCCCGGGUUAAUACCCUGGGGUCAUGACGGUACCGUAGGAAUAAGCACCGGCUAACUACGUGCCAGCCGCCGCAGUAA
This 498-nucleotide ribosomal RNA is filed under the name uncultured bacterium. RNAcentral describes it as "partial 16S ribosomal RNA". It matches the Rfam family "Bacterial small subunit ribosomal RNA", at positions 30 to 523 of the family's 1533-position model. The record is from RNAcentral.